GUCUACAGCCACUGAACAAGCCGGAUGCCGUCUGAUUUCAGAAGCUAAGCAGGGUUGGGCCUGGUUAAUAGUUGCAUGAGAGACCAUCUAGGAAGACCAGGUUCUGUAGGCG
RNAcentral lists this ribosomal RNA (112 nucleotides) under Pteropus alecto (black flying fox). The record is from RNAcentral. Lineage: Eukaryota; Metazoa; Chordata; Mammalia; Chiroptera; Pteropodidae.